This 584-nucleotide ribosomal RNA is filed under the name uncultured beta proteobacterium. RNAcentral describes it as "bacterial SSU rRNA". It matches the Rfam family "Bacterial small subunit ribosomal RNA", at positions 338 to 909 of the family's 1533-position model. The record is from RNAcentral. Lineage: Bacteria; Pseudomonadati; Pseudomonadota; Betaproteobacteria.
CCUACGGGAGGCAGCAGUGGGGAAUUUUGGACAAUGGGCGAAAGCCUGAUCCAGCCAUGCCGCGUGAGUGAAGAAGGCCUUCGGGUUGUAAAGCUCUUUUAGUCGGAAAGAAAGGGUCGUAGUGAAUAAUUAUGAUUUAUGACCGGUACCGGACAGAAGAAGCACCGGCCUAACUACGGUGCCAGCAGCCGCGGUAAUACGUAGGGUGCGAGCGUUAAUCGGAAUUACUGGGCGUAAAGGGUGCGCAGGCGGUCUUGCAAGUCAGAUGUGAAAGCCCCGGGCUUAACCUGGGAAUUGCGUUCGAAACUACAAGGCUAGAGUGCAGCAGAGGGGAGUGGAAUUCCAUGUGUAGCAGUGAAAUGCGUAGAGAUGUGGAAGAACACCGAUGGCGAAGGCAGCUCCCUGGGUUGACACUGACGCUCAUGCACGAAAGCGUGGGGAGCAAACAGGAUUAGAUACCCUGGUAGUCCACGCCCUAAACGAUGUCAACUAGUUGUCGGAUCUAAUUAAGGAUUUGGUAACGUAGCUAACGCGUGAAGUUGACCGCCUGGGGAGUACGGUCGCAAGAUUAAAACUCAAAGGAA